UGCCACAUGACAUAUUUAUAUGUGGUAAAUCCUGCCCAGUGAUCACUUAAACGGCCGCGGUAUCUUGACCGUGCAAAGGUAGCAUAAUCAUUUGCCUAUUAAUUGUAGGCUAGUAUGAAAGGAUAAACGAGAAUUUUACUGUCUCAUCUAGAUCUAUAAAAAUUUAUUUUUAAGUGAAGAAGCUUAAAUUUAGACACAGGACAAGAAGACCCUAUAGAGCUUUACCUUAUUAUUAGAACUUAACUAAUAUACGGUUCGGUUGGGGCGACCGAGGAACACAAAUCAUCCUUAAUUAUUUAGACAUCCAAGUCAUAAAAUUGAUCCUUAAUAAAGAUUACUGAAUCAAGCUACCUUAGGGAUAACAGGCUAAUUCCCCUUAAGAGUCCAUAUUGACAGGGGAGAUUGGCACCUCGAUGUUGGCUUAGGAUUUCAUCUCGCCGCAGCAGGCGAGAACAGAUGGAUUGUUCAUCCAUUAAUAUCCU
RNAcentral lists this ribosomal RNA (482 nucleotides) under Limnodrilus rubripenis. Its description in RNAcentral is "partial 16S ribosomal RNA". It matches the Rfam family "Bacterial large subunit ribosomal RNA", at positions 1829 to 2597 of the family's 2925-position model. The record is from RNAcentral. Lineage: Eukaryota; Metazoa; Annelida; Clitellata; Tubificida; Naididae.